ACAAAAUUUUGCUAAGUCCGCCAAGAAAACCCUUUAAGAAUUACAACAGUCCACUAUAAUAUUUCAUUAAAUUUUUAUCUAGCAUACUCUAAUCUGCCAAAAAAAUUCACUAAGUAUGAUUCUCCACUGCUCCGACCACCAUACGUCGACCAUAAUACCAUUGCUUCGAAUACCAUAUGUCGUCCAUCAUACCGUUGCUAUGAAUAGCAUAUGCCGACCAUCAUAUUAUUGCUCCAACCACCAUACUCUUCCCAUUGUACCACUGCUCUGACUACUAUACCUUGAUUUCAAAGAUGCUCCGACCACCACUGUGAGUAAGAAUAUGUAUUUGAAUCCAAAGUUGGGUAGGGUUGGGGGUGGGUGUGGGUUGGGGCAAAGGAAAUUAGGUAAUUUGCAAAGGAGUGGGGAAGUGAAGAGGGUGAUGGAGAUUAUGCUAAGGGUGAUGAAAAGAAAGCAAGUUUUAGUAGGGGAAGGUGAGCUAAAAGGUGUAGUAAGUGACCUUUUUAACAAAAUUGAGAAAGGGGAAUUGGGGAUUGUGAAGGGUAUAUAAAUUUUGCAUAUGGCCCAAGAAUUCUUGCAUGAAAAGAAUGAAAUAGUUAACAACAUUAAGGAAUUAGGAGGGGUCAUUCAGAGUAAAUUGAGAAAUUGUGGUGGUAUGAUUGUUCACUAGGAUUUAAAAUGGCUAGUUGAGCAGCAACAACAACCCCCAAUUAUCUCCGAGAUUGGAAAAUCAUCACUGAUUGAAAUGGGUAAGUUAGUAGCGUGAUUUCGAGAAGAAAAUGGCAAUAAAAAUAGGUUGUAGUUGAUUGGUACAGCAACACGUGAGACAUUUGAGAUGUAAAGUUUAUCAUUCGACUAUGGAAAAUGAUUGGGAUAUUCAAGCUAUUCCUAUUACUUCAAGAUCUCCACAUCCAAGAAUAUUUCCUAGAAUCCCUGAGAUGCUUAGUUCUCAUGAAGAGUUCAACUGAAGAUAGUAAAUUCGAACCAAAUUCUACUGUUACGCUGGUGCUGGGAAGUGGUGAUCACCAUGACUAGUAAGUUUUCCAGAGAACCAAGGUGAUGCUCUUUUGCUUGAAGUACAAGAUAUGAAGAAAAGUACAUUGGGUCGAACUUCAAUACCAGUUUCAGUUGUGGCUGACAAUAGUGUAGUACCUUUCAUAUGUCAUGGACGUCCUAACUCCAACAAAAGAUUUUUUGGAGCUCAUUCAUGAGUUACUUGUGCCAGUUUGAAGGCAAGGAGUGAUAGAAGCAUGACAAGACAAGAGGUAUCAAAUUCUAAACACACAAACCUUCAAUCUUAAUAUUAUGCUAAAGAUUUAUAUAUGGGAAGUUGUUUCACAAAAUCAAAUUCCACAGAAAUGCUAAUCUAAUCUCUAAUAAUUGCCAGAUUUCUAACAAUUUCUGAAAUUCAUAGUAGCAUCCUUUUUAUCUCAAACAUCUUAUACUCCCUUCUGCCAUUCUAUUUUAACCUCCUUUCUAUUUUGCUUUGUCUAGAAAAGAGUGAACUCUUCCAUCUUAUGGGAAAUUGAACCAUUUUAAAAGAGGUCCAAAGUAACAUAAUACUUUCUACAUUUUCAAGCUUAGCAUGAUAUUUUAACGUCCACAUCCUUCUUCAAGCGUAUGUUUAAUCAAUUCAAGUAUAGUAACUUAGUUGAACUUUCUUCUUUCUUAUGGAUGGGUCACUAUGUAAAACAAAAUGUGUUAAAAGGAGAAUUUACUUUUUUAAACCUUAUAGACAACCAAAAUAAUUAUAUUUAAUGAGGAUAGAGGAUGCAACACUAGUCUCACUUUUAAUCACUCUAAUCAAACAUAGAGAGCAAGUUCAACUUUUCUUGUUCUGUUGCUCCAAUUGAAGCAUGUCAGCAUAAUUGUCUUUUUUUCAUAUCGCAUGUGACCAUUUAUGCACAGAAAAUCUCAUUAAAGAUUGAAACUUGGUUCCUCGAGAUUAGAAGCACUCAUGGAGCCUUAAAUAUGAUUUCUGCAGUAUCCCUCCCUAAGUUAUGAAUUAUCAUAAGAUAGAUGGUAUCUUAGUUAGUAUAUUCAAGCAACCUUACUCUUCUUAACUGUUUUCAUAAACACAAGAGGUCAAUGCAUUUUCAGAAACUGAAGAGAAAUGUAUAUAAAACUAUUAUGAUGAAAGUGGUCCAUCUAAUCUAUUACCUUUCACUAUUUUUAUACUGGUUUAUCUUUGAAAACUGGCCGUCAGGUACCUGAGCUAAAGCUAUUGCAAGCUUAUUGUUUUUUCUUAUUUCAAAAAAGUUUGCUCUUGGAUUGUGAAAUUGAGAUUGAAGGUAUCUUAGACUGUGUUCAAAAACUAUAAUUCACAGGAUGAAAGUUGUCCUACAGGUUUACCAGACAUGUCAGCUUCGAUACCAGAAACUGCAGCACCGGCACUUUCUCCCGCAGUACAAAUUAACUCACUUUUAAUAUUUGUAUACACUCACAAUUUUGUGCUACUUGAUUUAUAGAUAAGCUAUACCAACCUUUGUUGUUUAUCUGCCAAUAUCGUAGGUUUCUUACUCAAAUGUUUUUUUGCCAAUAUCACAGCUAAGAUAACCUGUGGAAAAUGCAAAAAUUCAGAACAAGCGUUGCUCUUGGAAGAGAUGAAGACAUUUGAAUUCAUUGAAGUAAAGCCUACUGGACAAACCUAUAUCUAUCUCUAUGCUUGUGCAGCCGCUGGUCGAGUUGACAGAGUGUAACAAAAUUGUUCAAUGGUUGCAACUAUAUCUAUUGCUAAUACACUAUUGGUCAUGCCUAUAUGAGAAGGCAUGUGCUAAUGUCUGUUUAGUUAGUUUUGCAAUUAGAUCCUUCAUGCAGUGGAUAGUAUGGAAUGUAGCAAAUUCUUUGUAAAUAUCCAGACAUAACACAAUGAUGUUAUUAUAUUUAAUUUAACUGAAGAACAUUUGUUUAUUAAAUGAAAUGAUAUUUGAUUA
This is a long non-coding RNA of Capsicum annuum, 2933 nucleotides long. RefSeq lists it as uncharacterized. Lineage: Eukaryota; Viridiplantae; Streptophyta; Magnoliopsida; Solanales; Solanaceae. The transcript is spliced from 5 exons. The record is from RefSeq and is a predicted model, not a curated record.